GGCGGAGGGUGCACGGCUGUCGGUGGUCUCGCGUCAAAAACGAGGUUGCUGAGGAAGCUCCGCUCACUCGAUUCAUUCAAAAGGCGCGCAAGCGCCGCCGCUUAAGGCGGGGAACGAAGAACAGAAACGAUAACCCGCGCUCGCGCAGGAUGAGCGCGAAAGCGCGACGUUGCGAACCGGGUUUGAAACGCGCUUCGUUCAAAAGAGUGCAAGGCGUUAAACGCCGCUUAGUUCAAUGCCGUGACAAACAGAAAGCGGGCUACAGCCCGCCGCC
RNAcentral lists this RNase P RNA (274 nucleotides) under Microcaldota archaeon. RNAcentral describes it as "RNase P RNA component". It matches the Rfam family "Archaeal RNase P". From Rfam's summary of the family: Ribonuclease P (RNase P) is a ubiquitous endoribonuclease, found in archaea, bacteria and eukarya as well as chloroplasts and mitochondria. The record is from RNAcentral. Lineage: Archaea; Nanobdellati; Microcaldota.